This 222-nucleotide long non-coding RNA is filed under the name Elaeis guineensis (African oil palm). RNAcentral describes it as "long non-coding RNA (EGUI_LNC051546)". Lineage: Eukaryota; Viridiplantae; Streptophyta; Magnoliopsida; Arecales; Arecaceae. The record is from RNAcentral.
UGGUGUGAGUGGUCCUUUGACUUGUGAUGUCAUUGGCUAUUCACAGUGAGGCUUCUAAGUUUGACUGCAUAUUUUCUUGAUCCCUAGUCAUUUAGAUCUUUACUGUGUAUGUUAGCUUCAGUAGGUUUAAAUUCACUGUUUGGAGUAGGAUGCGUCUAGAAAGAAACUAUCGAUCUUGGUAGAAAAGAAGAAGUCCUAUGCGAUUUACGAGACUGAGUUCAG